This 433-nucleotide ribosomal RNA is filed under the name uncultured bacterium. RNAcentral describes it as "partial 16S ribosomal RNA". It matches the Rfam family "Bacterial small subunit ribosomal RNA", at positions 29 to 507 of the family's 1533-position model. The record is from RNAcentral.
AGCGAACGCUGGCGGCAGGCUUAACACAUGCAAGUCGAGCGGGCCUUUCGGGGUCAGCGGCGGACGGGUGAGUAACGCGUGGGAACGUGCCCUCUGGUUCGGAAUAACUCAGUGAAACUUGAGCUAAUACCGGAUACGCCCUUUUGGGGAAAGGCUUGCUGCCGGAGGAUCGGCCCGCGUCUGUUUAGCUAGUUGGUGAGGUAACGGCUCACCAACGCGACGAUGAGUAGCUGGUCUGAGAGGAUGAUAAGCCACACUGGGACUGAGACACGGCCCAGACUCCUACGGGAGGCAGCAGUGGGGAAUAUUGGACAAUGGGCGCAAGCCUGAUACAGCCAUGCCGCGUGAGUGAUGAAGGCCUUAGGGUUGUAAAGCUCUUUUAUCCGGGACGAUAAUGACGGUACCGGAGGAAUAAGCCCCGGCUAACUUCGUG